This 506-nucleotide ribosomal RNA is filed under the name uncultured bacterium. RNAcentral's name for it is "partial 16S ribosomal RNA". It matches the Rfam family "Bacterial small subunit ribosomal RNA", at positions 29 to 523 of the family's 1533-position model. The record is from RNAcentral.
AGUGAACGCUGGCGGUAGGCCUAACACAUGCAAGUCGAACGGCAGCACAGGAGAGCUUGCUCUCUGGGUGGCGAGUGGCGGACGGGUGAGGAAUACAUCGGAAUCUACUCUGUCGUGGGGGAUAACGUAGGGAAACUUACGCUAAUACCGCAUACGACCUACGGGUGAAAGCAGGGGAUCUUCGGACCUUGCGCGAUUGAAUGAGCCGAUGUCGGAUUAGCUAGUUGGCGGGGUAAAGGCCCACCAAGGCGACGAUCCGUAGCUGGUCUGAGAGGAUGAUCAGCCACACUGGAACUGAGACACGGUCCAGACUCCUACGGGAGGAAGCAGUGGGGAAUAUUGGACAAUGGGCGCAAGCCUGAUCCAGCCAUACCGCGUGGGUGAAGAAGGCCUUCGGGUUGUAAAGCCCUUUUGUUGGGAAAGAAAUCCAGCUGGCUAAUACCCGGUUGGGAUGACGGUGCCCAAAGAAUAAGCACCGGCUAACUCCGUGCCAGCAGCCGCGGUAA